RNAcentral lists this transfer RNA (76 nucleotides) under Mycobacterium sp. RNAcentral's name for it is "tRNA-Asn". It matches the Rfam family "tRNA". From Rfam's summary of the family: Transfer RNA (tRNA) molecules are approximately 80 nucleotides in length. The record is from RNAcentral. Lineage: Bacteria; Bacillati; Actinomycetota; Actinomycetes; Mycobacteriales; Mycobacteriaceae. RNAcentral also lists the same sequence under 2 other names.
UCCCCUGUAGCUCAACUGGCAGAGCUUGCGACUGUUAAUCGCACGGUUGAUGGUUCGAGUCCAUCCGGGGGAGCCA